AAAAACAUGUCUUUUUGAGUUAAUUUAAAGUCUAAUCUGCCCACUGAUUUUAAUAUUGAAGGGCUGCAGUAAUUUGACUGUACAAAGGUAGCAUAAUCAUUAGUCUUUUAAUUGAAGACUUGUAUGAAUGAUUUGAUGAAAUAUAAACUGUCUCUAAUUUAUAAAUAAAACUUAAUUUUUUAGUUAAAAAGCUAAAAUAUUUUUAAAAGACGAGAAGACCCUAUAGAGUUUUAUAAUUUUUAAUUUAAAAUAUUUAUAUAAAAUUUUAAUAUUAUAUAUUAAAAAUUAUUUUGUUGGGGUGAUAAAAAAAUAAAUAAAACUUUUUUUCUUAUUUAACAAAAAUAAAUGAAUAAAUGAUCCAUAUUAAUGAUUAAAAGAAAAAAUUACCUUAGGGAUAACAGCGUAAUAUUUUUUUUUAGUACAAAUAAAAAAAAAAGUUUGCGACCUCGAUGUUGGAUUAAGAUAAAAUUUAAAUGCAAAAG
This 482-nucleotide ribosomal RNA is filed under the name Luthrodes pandava. RNAcentral's name for it is "partial 16S ribosomal RNA". The record is from RNAcentral. Lineage: Eukaryota; Metazoa; Arthropoda; Insecta; Lepidoptera; Lycaenidae.